RNAcentral lists this transfer RNA (74 nucleotides) under Chitinophagaceae bacterium. Its description in RNAcentral is "tRNA-Arg". It matches the Rfam family "tRNA". From Rfam's summary of the family: Transfer RNA (tRNA) molecules are approximately 80 nucleotides in length. The record is from RNAcentral. RNAcentral also lists the same sequence under 1 other name. Lineage: Bacteria; Pseudomonadati; Bacteroidota; Chitinophagia; Chitinophagales; Chitinophagaceae.
GGUCUCGUAGCUCAGUUGGAUAGAGCAACAGCCUUCUAAGCUGUAGGUCUUUGGUUCGAAUCCAAACGGGAUCA